UUAACUUAUUUGUUUGAUUACUCAGAGAUGCCACAGAGAUGCAAAAGAGUUUCUUACCUCCGGCGGGCGGUCCGGAGACCGGGGGCUCUCGCCCUGGCUCCCGCCGAAGCAACGCUGAUGGAUGGGUUCGCGAUGGUUGUAAGCAGCCUUUCGGCGCUUCUUGUAAUGAUCCCUCCGCUGGUUCACCAACGGAGA
Molecule: unclassified non-coding RNA, 195 nt
Filed under: uncultured fungus
Lineage: Eukaryota; Fungi
Description: sequence contains ITS1
Source: RNAcentral